GCGAGGUAAGUUGAAGUCGGAUUGUCGGAUCUCCGUAGUUUCGAUCAUUUUAUCCUAUCUCCAACAAAGCGAUAAAUGCAUCUUAACUGCGGUGAUCUGAAUUCUUGGACACUUUUU
RNAcentral lists this microRNA precursor (117 nucleotides) under Caenorhabditis remanei. The stretch from base 23 to 102 matches the Rfam family "mir-232 microRNA precursor family". Lineage: Eukaryota; Metazoa; Nematoda; Chromadorea; Rhabditida; Rhabditidae. The record is from RNAcentral.